GACGAACGCUGGCGGCGUGCUUAACACAUGCAAGUCGAACGGUGAACCUCUUCGGAGGGGAUCAGUGGCGAACGGGUGAGUAACACGUGGGCAACCUGCCCCCGGCUCUGGGAUAACUCCAAGAAAUUGGGGCUAAUACCGGAUGUUCACCGCUUCCCGCAUGGGUGGUGGUGGAAAGGGUUUCCGGCUGGGGAUGGGCCCGCGGCCUAUCAGCUUGUUGGUGGGGUAGUGGCCUACCAAGGCGACGACGGGUAGCCGGCCUGAGAGGGUGACCGGCCACACUGGUACUGAGACACGGCCCAGACUCCUACGGGAGGCAGCAGUGGGGAAUAUUGCGCAGUGGGCGGAAGCCUGACGCAGCGACGCCGCGUGGGGGAUGACGGCCUUCGGGUUGGAAACCUCUUUCAGCAGGGACGAAGCGCAAGUGACGGUACCUGCAGAAGAAGCACCGGCCAACUACGUG
Molecule: ribosomal RNA, 463 nt
Filed under: uncultured bacterium
Lineage: Bacteria
Description: partial 16S ribosomal RNA
Rfam family: Bacterial small subunit ribosomal RNA
Source: RNAcentral